UACGGAGGGUGCAAGCGUUAAUCGGAAUUACUGGGCGUAAAGCGCGCGUAGGCGGUUUUUUAAGUCGGAUGUGAAAGCCCCGGGCUCAACCUGGGAACUGCAUCCGAUACUGGAAGACUAGAAUGCGGGAGAGGGAGGUAGAAUUCCAUGUGUAGCAGUGAAAUGCGUAGAUAUAUGGAGGAAUACCAGUGGCGAAGGCGGCCUCCUGGCUCGACAUUGACGCUGAGGUGCGAAAGCGUGGGGAGCAAACGGG
RNAcentral lists this ribosomal RNA (253 nucleotides) under uncultured bacterium. RNAcentral's name for it is "partial 16S ribosomal RNA". It matches the Rfam family "Bacterial small subunit ribosomal RNA", at positions 524 to 776 of the family's 1533-position model. The record is from RNAcentral.